This 302-nucleotide ribosomal RNA is filed under the name uncultured bacterium. Its description in RNAcentral is "partial 16S ribosomal RNA". It matches the Rfam family "Bacterial small subunit ribosomal RNA", at positions 508 to 807 of the family's 1533-position model. The record is from RNAcentral.
GCAGUAGCCGCGGUAAUACGUAGGGUCCGAGCGUUGUCCGGAAUUACUGGGCGUAAAGAGCUCGUAGGUGGUUUGUCGCGUUGUUCGUGAAAACUCACAGCUUAACUGUGGGCGUGCGGGCGAUACGGGCAGACUAGAGUACUGCAGGGGAGACUGGAAUUCCUGGUGUAGCGGUGGAAUGCGCAGAUAUCAGGAGGAACACCGGUGGCGAAGGCGGGUCUCUGGGCAGUAACUGACGCUGAGGAGCGAAAGCGUGGGGAGCGAACAGGAUUAGAUACCCCAGUAGUCCCUGUCUCUUAUAC